UAAGAAAUGGCUGAGAACAAGCACGGGUCUUUUAAACCCUCCACGGAAAUACCUUUCUUGG
This 61-nucleotide transfer RNA is filed under the name Cymothoa indica. RNAcentral's name for it is "tRNA-Lys". Lineage: Eukaryota; Metazoa; Arthropoda; Malacostraca; Isopoda; Cymothoidae. The record is from RNAcentral.